This is a non-coding RNA of Phalacrocorax carbo (great cormorant), 686 nucleotides long. NCBI's taxonomy places the organism in Eukaryota, Metazoa, Chordata, Aves, Suliformes, Phalacrocoracidae. The record is from RefSeq and is a predicted model, not a curated record.
AUCCUGUGCAAUCUGCUUGCAGCAGCACUGUUUUCAUGUUCUUUCUGGAUACCCUGGUAAUCGCUGGGAAGAGAACUAUUUAUCAGGACAUUACUCCAAACUAUUGUUGCCAUCUCACAGAAAAAGCAUGCAAAGACAUUUUAAAGAGACUAAGUUGUCAGUGGGUAUCUCCAGCACCAGGGAGAAAGGUCUUAUAAGAUCAGCAGCAUGUAGAAGCAAAACAAGAGUCUGAAGCAAAUGGAUGUCACAGCUAAUAAGCGGGAAAGGAGCUCAGUUCCUGCUGGAAGAACGGGGCUGGUGCUGCUCCUCUGCCCCAUCAGCCUCCGCAGCUGCCAGAAUCAUCAGAAUAACCUCAAAAGGUUCAAAAGAUAGAUAUCUCUAAUGAUGACCAAUGGCGUACUAGCAAGGAUUUCAUGAGCUGCUAGUCACAGGUAUCUUACAAAAUGGGAUCUCGGCACCAUAGGUCUGAAAUAAUGUUAAAGAUACUGGGAAAAAAACCUGAAGCAUGAGGCACCAUGUUUUAAAGAGUGAAUGUUGAAGGAGAAAUAAAGCACCAGACCAGUCCCUUUUUACCUUUCUUGGCCUCAAAAUAAAAGGUAAUACCCUGCUUUGCACUGUACUAAAAGUAGUAUCCAUUUUAGAAAGUUUACAAUUCUUUAAAUUCAUCCUAAACUACCUAUAGACAA